UUAAAAGUCUGUUGACAGAAAAUAACGUCGUUGCCCCUUUAAGGGACCAGCGACACAGACGCAGCGCCUCAGUGACGCUGCAGCAGAGACCUGAGGGAGAGAGCAGAGGAGGAAUCGGAGAAAACAAGCGGUGAUUAAUUAAUAGAAAAAGCAGUGAAAAAGUCGAUAAAACUGUCGAAAAACAUAACUUGCCUGGUCGGGAACUGACGGGGAUUUUAUGAGAACUAAGCCACAUUGGUUUUGGUCAGGUUUUUUUACUCGGUCGGAGUGAGGAUUGGUCUGCCAUGUGCGGGCGUGCACAUCUACAGACGGGAUUCAAGAUGGCGAGCCAGACCCAGACCUUCAACUCAUCUUCUUCAUCGCGUCAUUGAGGAAAUCCUCUGCGUGUGGUAACUCACUGCCAGAGUGGUAGGAGUAUCAGGAACUAGUUUGAACUGAACUGAACAGAACUGAGAACUGAUUGAACUAUUAUUUUUUGGACUGAGUCGAACUGAAACUUUUCAUUGAACUGAACACUUGAAUUCACAUUUGGACUUGAACUUAAAUUUAAAGUGUCAUACUUUUAUUUGCAUAUGUUUAUAUUUUUGAAUGUGAUUUGAAUAACUGUGGUCAACUUUGAUUUACUUGGGUUUUGUAGGUAAUUUCUUGCCUGUAAAAGAAAGGAAGAGUUAACUCUGGAAGAAAAAUAGGAAUCCAAAAUAGGUACAACCUAGGAAAAAGAGACUGAUCUAAUUAAAUUAGAUUAGCUGUACUAAAAUAAACUAGGUGAACUAAAGAACAAAAAGGAAGAGUGAAAUACUUUUUUUUCCCCAUUUCCCUUGUUAUUGGGAACCUGCAGGGUAUUUUUGGCUUUAUGUACUGUGUUUUAUAUUUGUGUUUCACAUUCAGUAAAUUGCCGGCCUUUUCUACUUAAAGCAACGGUCUCUGGUGUAAUUUUCCUUGCUCCCCACUCCUUAGAACCUAGAACUGGUCCAGUGGCGCAGUUAGUGGUGUGAUACCGGUGCUACACUUCCUAUUACCAUGGUUCUGAUAUGACACCUGGAGCAACACCAGGAAAUAGUCUUGUCGCUCACUGUAUCACCUUCCAUGGAAUUAGACCUCUGGCAAAUGGCUUAACAAGAUUAGCUGGCCAUCCAAUUUAACAAAGGCACAGUAAUUGUUUAAUGAAGAUAUUGAAUAUGCAACCCACACUGUGUACCAUAAGCUAAGACUUAAUAACUGUCUGCAGUCAAAAUGAGAGUCAUCCUUUUCGGUGCUAACUGUUGUUCCAGGAGAAAAAAGGUGCUACUGCUGAUAGUAACAAUAUGCUUCUCUUAAUGUGCUACUGUUAACAACAUGAGUGUUGAAGUAAUAACUGCUGUCAAAUAAACAUGAAACAAGCA
Long non-coding RNA from Acanthochromis polyacanthus (spiny chromis), 1382 nucleotides. RefSeq lists it as uncharacterized. The record is from RefSeq and is a predicted model, not a curated record. The transcript has 2 exons. NCBI's taxonomy places the organism in Eukaryota, Metazoa, Chordata, Actinopteri, Pomacentridae.